Non-coding RNA from Schizothecium vesticola, 93 nucleotides. The record is from the annotation of a GenBank genome assembly. NCBI's taxonomy places the organism in Eukaryota, Fungi, Ascomycota, Sordariomycetes, Sordariales, Schizotheciaceae.
GGGCGUAUGGUCUAGUGGUAUGAUUUCUGUUUUGCAAUGCCCUGGAGCUCUUGCACAUACAGACGGUCCCGCGUUCGAUCCGCGGUACGUCCA